CCUACGGGAGGCAGCAGUGGGGAAUAUUGGACAAUGGGGGCAACCCUGAUCCAGCCAUGCCGCGUGUGUGAAGAAGGCCCUCGGGUUGUAAAGCACUUUCAGUGAGGAAGAACGCCUGGUGGUUAAUACCCAUCAGGAAAGACAUCACUCACAGAAGAAGCACCGGCUAACUCCGUGCCAGCAGCCGCGGUAAUACGGAGGGUGCGAGCGUUAAUCGGAAUUACUGGGCGUAAAGCGCGCGUAGGUGGCUUGAUAAGCCGGUUGUGAAAGCCCCGGGCUCAACCUGGGAACGGCAUCCGGAACUGUCAAGCUAGAGUGCAGGAGAGGAAGGUAGAAUUCCCGGUGUAGCGGUGAAAUGCGUAGAGAUCGGGAGGAAUACCAGUGGCGAAGGCGGCCUUCUGGACUGACACUGACGCUGAGGUGCGAAAGCGUGGGUAGCAAACAGGAUUAGAUACCCUGGUAGUC
This 465-nucleotide ribosomal RNA is filed under the name Vreelandella stevensii. RNAcentral's name for it is "partial 16S ribosomal RNA". It matches the Rfam family "Bacterial small subunit ribosomal RNA", at positions 338 to 795 of the family's 1533-position model. Lineage: Bacteria; Pseudomonadati; Pseudomonadota; Gammaproteobacteria; Oceanospirillales; Halomonadaceae. The record is from RNAcentral.